AGCAGCCGCGGUAAUUCCAGCUCCAAUAGCGUAUAUUAAAGUUGUUGCAGUUAAAAAGCUCGUAGUUGAAUUUCGGGGUUAGUAGGUUGGUCAUGCCUCUGGUAUGUACUGGUCUCACUGAUUCCUCCUUCCUGAUGAACCUUAAUGCCAUUAAUUUGGUGUUUUGGGGAAUUUGGACUGUUACUUUGAAAAAAUUAGAGUGUUUAAAGCAAGCUAACGCUUGAAUACAUUAGCAUGGAAUAAUGAAAUAGGACGCUCGAUCCUAUUUUGUUGGUUUCUAGGAUUGACGUAAUGAUUAAUAGGGAUAGUUGGGGGCAUUAGUAUUCAAUUGUCAGAGGUGAAAUUCUUGGAUUUAUUGAAGACUAACUACUGCGAAAGCAUUUGCCAAGGAUGUUUUCAUUAAUCAAGAACGAAAGUUAGGGGAUCGAAGACGAUCAGAUACCGUCGUAGUCUUAACCAUAAACUAUGCCGACCAGGGAUCGGAUGAUGUUAAUUUUUUAAUGACUCA
RNAcentral lists this ribosomal RNA (508 nucleotides) under uncultured glomeraceous AM fungus. RNAcentral describes it as "SSU rRNA". It matches the Rfam family "Eukaryotic small subunit ribosomal RNA", at positions 569 to 1078 of the family's 1831-position model. The record is from RNAcentral. Lineage: Eukaryota; Fungi; Glomeromycota; Glomeromycetes; Glomerales; Glomeraceae.